This 205-nucleotide ribosomal RNA is filed under the name uncultured bacterium. RNAcentral describes it as "partial 16S ribosomal RNA". It matches the Rfam family "Bacterial small subunit ribosomal RNA", at positions 328 to 538 of the family's 1533-position model. The record is from RNAcentral.
ACGCUCGACACCUACUGGAGGCAGCAGUCGGGAAUAUUGCGCAAUGGAGGAAACUCUGACGCAGUGACGCCGCGUGCAGGAAGAAGGUUUUCGGAUUGUAAACUGCUUUAGACAGGGAAGAAAGAAAUGACAGUACCUGUAGAAUAAGCUCCGGCUAACUACGUGCCNGCAGCCGCGGUAAUCUGAGGCGGGCGUGGACGAAGGC